This 1249-nucleotide long non-coding RNA is filed under the name Sus scrofa (pig). Its description in RNAcentral is "lncRNA (ENSSSCG00045022638.1)". The record is from RNAcentral. Lineage: Eukaryota; Metazoa; Chordata; Mammalia; Artiodactyla; Suidae.
GCCCUAACAAAAAGACAAAUAAUAAUAAUAAUAAUAAUAAUAAGAUAGAUAUGUUUCUCAUCACAAUUUUUUGGUUUGAAAUGUAAAAUUAAACAAACAUCCAUAGUGUUUGAUGAACAGAUUUUUUUUUUUUGUAAUAUGUGAUUUUCCAAGUGCUGCUCUGGUAAAGGACUAGACUUGUAUGUGUAUUAAACCCAUCCAGGGCAAUGACACUAAGGAAGUAAGACACAUACCAAGCUAUCUGAUGAGCAUUUCUUCCCUGGAGGAUUAUUGUUGGAAAAAAAAAUGCUGAGAAAUGCAACAGAAGCCUGUCUGUGUUUCUAGCACCUCACUGUAGAUUUUCCCCUGGAACAUUUGUACAAGACAUAGAGCCAUCACCCUCACGUCUGGCUGCACACUGCUCAAAUAAUACGGGGACUAACUGGUUAAUGAUGAAGCAGCUCUUCCUGCCAGAGCUAACGCCAGCAGGAUCCAGUCACCCUGCCAGAAAGACCUUGGGUUUUAUACAGUUGAUGGCUUUAUGGGUUGAGUCACCUUGAGACAAAAAUCCCUUUAGUAUUUCAAUAAAUAAAACCUUUAAAAAAAAAAACUACAUUUGCUACAGCAAAUAAAGUUAGGGCACUAAUCCAGGGCUUUGGCCUAUUUAAAAACCCUAAAAUUCUUGAAAGUCAUCCCACUGUGGGACAGUGUUUUUUGUUUUUACAAGCAAGUAAGCAAGCAAAGUCUUUAUUACUGGAAAGAAAAUAGCUCCCAGGACUGCUGGGAGAGGGGAGAAGAGCCCCCCCCCCCCAUUGUCUUAUAGGAUUCUUAUCCCUUAAAGAUGGGGGGACCGACGUGGGGUCCUGAAAGGUGCGGUUUUCUCCCAUUGGCCUUGCCUGGUUACCUGUAUCAGUCCUUGUCCAAUAGGGGUCUUAGCGGUGAAAUGUCCGUUUCAGUGUCAGGAAUCUGGACGCACCUUAGCUGGAUCCUCUGGCUCAAGGUCUCCUCUGAAGCUGCAGUCAAGGCAUUGGCUGGGACAGUCAUCUCAAGGCUCAACUGGUGGAGGACCCAUCUCCCAUCUCAUUCCUGUGGUGGUUGGCAGGAUUCAGUUCCUUGUGGGCUGAUGGACGAAGGGCCUCAGUUCCUCCCUGGCUCUUGGCUGGAGGCCAUUCUCAGUUUCCUGGCACGUGAGCCUCUCCUUAAGGCAGCUCCCAACACAGCAGCUGACUUCAUCAGCGCAAGCAAGCAAGAAGAGCCGGAGAGAAAGUGA